CCAGUUCUUUCCUUCCUGAGGAAGGCCACAUUUAGUCUCCAAUCUCUUGGUUUGGAUGUGAUCAGCAUUCAUCUGAGAGGAGGAAAGAGAACAUAGAGACUGAGGAUGAGUCCCUGCCAGGAAAAUUGGGAACAAAAUAACUGGGAAAAGGGAAAAAUAACUUGGUAAAGGGAAAAGCCUCCCGUCCCGAGACGACUGAGCCCGGGGCGCGUCCUCCGCUCUGCGGGCGCCUGCAGUGAGUGGGCCGAGCCCGCCGGCGCCCAGCCCUCAGACGAGCCGCGCGGGGCCGCGCCUGUGCCCCGGGCGGGGAGCACGUGAGGGGGCGGCGGGCCCGCCCUGGUCCGGGUAGCCGAGGAUGCGUUUCUGUCCGGUCUUACGAAAUGGGAACGGCCGGCCCUGGCGCCGCAGUUUGGCCGCGGAGGGACUGAUAUCCACGCAGGAUAUUGCUCAGCGCCCGUACCCACCGCGACUUCGGCAAAGGCUUCCUUGUGGGCCGGGCAAAGGAUGCUGCGCCUGCCGUCCCUGGACCCGCCCGGCACCGCACGUCUCCUGGGCCCACAAGGCCUGCUCGCCGGGAGUUUCAGUUUUCUGUCUCCUGAGCUCCGCAGCCCGGAGCGUCCUGACCAGACCAAGAUCUGCGCUCGCGCUGCCCCCCGUGGGUGAAAGAACCGACUGUCGUUGGGUGCCGUGGCUGGACGGAGGAUUUCAAGACCGGAUAGAGCAUAUUCCAGAUUACUGGAGCUACUGA
RNAcentral lists this long non-coding RNA (748 nucleotides) under Cervus hanglu yarkandensis (Yarkand deer). Its description in RNAcentral is "lncRNA (ENSCHYG00000006787.1)". Lineage: Eukaryota; Metazoa; Chordata; Mammalia; Artiodactyla; Cervidae. The record is from RNAcentral.